RNAcentral lists this ribosomal RNA (1098 nucleotides) under uncultured ammonia-oxidizing bacterium. Its description in RNAcentral is "bacterial SSU rRNA". It matches the Rfam family "Bacterial small subunit ribosomal RNA", at positions 131 to 1225 of the family's 1533-position model. The record is from RNAcentral.
CUUAAGUGGGGAAUAACGCAUCGAAAGGUGUGCUAAUACCGCAUAAUCUCUGAGGAGAAAAGCAGGGGAUCGCAAGACCUUGCGCUUUUGGAGCGGCCGAUGUCUGAUUAGCUUGUUGGUAAGGUAAAAGCUUACCAAGGCUUCGAUCAGUAGCUGGUCUGAGAGGACGACCAGCCACACUGGGACUGAGACACGGCCCAGACUCCUACGGGAGGCAGCAGUGGGGAAUUUUGGACAAUGGGGACAACCCUGAUCCAGCCAUGCCGCGUGAGUGAAGAAGGCCUUCGGGUUGUAAAGCUCUUUCAGCCGGAACGAAACGGUUACGGUUAAUACCCGUGACUACUGACGGUACCGGAAGAAGAAGCACCGGCUAACUACGUGCCAGCAGCCGCGGUAAUACGUAGGGUGCGAGCGUUAAUCGGAAUUACUGGGCGUAAAGCGUGCGCAGGUGGUUUUGUAAGUCAGAUGUGAAAUCCCCGGGCUCAACCUGGGAACUGCGUUUGAAACUACAAGGCUAGAGUGUGGCAGAGGGGGGUGGAAUUCCGCGUGUAGCAGUGAAAUGCGUAGAGAUGUGGAGGAACACCGAUGGCGAAGGCAGCCCCCUGGGUCAACACUGACGCUCAGGCACGAAAGCAUGGGGAGCAAACAGGAUUAGAUACCCUGGUAGUCCAUGCCCUAAACGAUGUCAACUAGUUGUCGGGCCUUAACGGGCUUGGUAACGUAGCUAACGCGUGAAGUUGACCGCCUGGGGAGUACGAUCGCAAGAUUAAAACUCAAAGGAAUUGACGGGGACCCGCACAAGCGGUGGAUUAUGUGGAUUAAUUCGAUGCAACGCGAAAAACCUUACCUACCCUUGACAUGUAUCGAAGCCCGCAGAAAAGCGGGGGUGCCCGAAAGGGAACGAUAACACAGGUGCUGCAUGGCUGUCGUCAGCUCGUGUCGUGAGAUGUUGGGUUAAGUCCCGCAACGAGCGCAACCCUUGUCAUUAAUUGCCAUCAUUUAGUUGGGCACUUUAAUGAGACUGCCGGUGACAAACCGGAGGAAGGUGGGGAUGACGUCAAGUCCUCAUGGCCCUUAUGGGUAGGGCUUCACACGUAA